CAGCAGCCGCGGGAAUACGAAGGGGGCUAGCGUUGUUCGGAAUUACUGGGCGUAAAGCGCACGUAGGCGGAUAUUUAAGUCAGGGGUGAAAUCCCAGAGCUCAACUCUGGAACUGCCUUUGAUACUGGGUAUCUUGAGUAUGGAAGAGGUUAGUGGAAUUGCGAGUGUAGAGGUGAAAUUCGUAGAUAUUCGCAGGAACACCAGUGGCGAAAGCGGCUCUCUGGCCCGGAUCUGACGCUGAGGCGCGAAAGCGUGGGGAGCAAACAGGAUUAGAUACCCGAGUAGUCCCUGUCUCUUAUAC
RNAcentral lists this ribosomal RNA (301 nucleotides) under uncultured bacterium. RNAcentral describes it as "partial 16S ribosomal RNA". It matches the Rfam family "Bacterial small subunit ribosomal RNA", at positions 509 to 807 of the family's 1533-position model. The record is from RNAcentral.